Molecule: small nuclear RNA, 107 nt
Organism: Fukomys damarensis (Damara mole-rat)
Lineage: Eukaryota; Metazoa; Chordata; Mammalia; Rodentia; Bathyergidae
Source: Ensembl
GUGCUUGCUUCGGCAGCACAUAUACUAAGAUUGGAACUAUACAGAGAAGAUUAGCAUGACUUCCGAGCAAGGAUGACAUGCAGAUUCGUGAAGCAUUCCGUGUUUUU